RNAcentral lists this ribosomal RNA (297 nucleotides) under Triticum aestivum (bread wheat). RNAcentral's name for it is "partial small subunit ribosomal RNA". The record is from RNAcentral. Lineage: Eukaryota; Viridiplantae; Streptophyta; Magnoliopsida; Poales; Poaceae.
AUGAGGAGCAGCAGCAGCAGCGCCGGCUGGGCGCCCAGGAGGAGGCCGAUGAGCGACCUCAUCGGCGCCAGCGACGACCUCUCCCGCUUCUCCGUCGCCACCACCACGGCCUCGUCCGAGCGGUCCGCGGGUGGCCGCGGGGCAGCGGCCUUCCGCUCCUGCUUCGCCCCCGCGGACGCGCGCUCGCCAGAGACCUCCCUCUCCGACGUCGACCUCGACGCCUCCCACCAACAUCAGCCAGUCAUCCACAGGGACAUACAUGGUGGGUUGCGAGCAUACGCCAGCACUCUUGGUUGA